This 1309-nucleotide ribosomal RNA is filed under the name human gut metagenome. RNAcentral's name for it is "bacterial LSU rRNA". It matches the Rfam family "Bacterial large subunit ribosomal RNA", at positions 1147 to 2475 of the family's 2925-position model. The record is from RNAcentral.
AGUCGAGAGAACCUGCGCCGAAAAUAAUCGGGGCUAAAACACACCACCGAAGCUACGGAUUUCCUACUAAGUAGGAAGUGGUAGAGGAGCAUACUGCAAGGACGAAGCCAAAUCGAGAGAGAUGGUGGACGAAGCAGUAGAGAGAAUGCCGGAAUGAGUAGCGAGAUAUAUGUGAGAACCAUAUAGGCCGAAUAUCUAAGGUUUCCUGGGUGAAGCUAAUCUACCCAGGGUAAGUCGGGACCUAAGGCGAGGACGAGAGUCGUAGUCGAUGGACAACUGGUAGAGAUUCCAGUACUAUGUAUGAUCAGAACUGUGGGGACGCAGGAGGAUAGAUGGACCGCGGAAAGGGAAGACGCGGCCAAGCACAAAGGCGAGGUCAGUAGGCAAAUCCGCUGAUUGAUGUUGAAGUGUGACGGGGACUGAAAGAAAGUAAGGAAGUCAUUGAAUCCACACUGCCGAGAAAAGCCGCUAUUGUGUCAUACAUACCCGUACCGCAAACCGACACAGGUAGAUGAGGAGAAAAUCCACAGGCCGACGGGAGAAGUGUUGUUAAGGAACUCGGCAAAAUGACCCCGUAACUUAGGGAGAAGGGGAGCCACGAGAAGUGGUCACAGAGAAGAGGCUCAAGCAACUGUUUAGCAAAAACACAGGUCUCUGCGAAACCGAAAGGUGAAGUAUAGGGGCUGACACCUGCCCGGUGCUGGAAGGUUAAAAGGAGAGGUUCGGAGAAAUCCAAAGCUUUGAAUUCAAGCCCCAGUAAACGGCGGCCGUAACUAUAACGGUCCUAAGGUAGCGAAAUUCCUUGUCAGGUAAGUUCUGACCCGCACGAAAGGUGUAAUGAUUUGAGCACUGUCUCGACAACACGCCCGGUGAAAUUGAAGAACCGGUGAAGAUACCGGUUACCCGCAACAGGACGGAAAGACCCCAUGGAGCUUUACUGCAGCCUGAUACUGGGAUUCGAUGAUGUAUGUACAGGAUAGGAGGGAGACUAUGAAGGGAGUACGCCAGUAUUCCUGGAGUCGACGGUGGGAUACCUCUCUUACAUCAUUGGGUUUCUAACCUGCAUCCGUAAUCCGGAUGAGGGACAAUGUCAGGCGGGCAGUUUGACUGGGGCGGUCGCCUCCAAAAGAGUAACGGAGGCGCUCGAAGGUCUUCUCAGAAUGAUUGGAAACCAUUCAAAGAGUGUAAAGGCAAAAGAAGGCUUGACUGCGAGGCCGACGGGCCGAGCAGGUACGAAAGUAGGACUUAGUGAUCCGGUGGUAAUAAGUGGGAAUGCCAUCGCUCAACGGAUAAAAGCUACCCUGGGGAU